UACGAAGGGGGCUAGCGUUGCUCGGAAUUACUGGGCGUAAAGCGCACGUAGGCGGAUUGUUAAGUCGGGGGUGAAAUCCUGGAGCUCAACUCCAGAACUGCCUUCGAUACUGGCGAUCUCGAGUUCGGGAGAGGUGAGUGGAACUGCGAGUGUAGAGGUGAAAUUCGUAGUUAUUCGCAAGAACACCAGUGGCGAAGGCGGCUCACUGGCCCGAUACUGACGCUGAGGUGCGAAAGCGUGGGGAGCAAACAGG
This 253-nucleotide ribosomal RNA is filed under the name uncultured bacterium. RNAcentral describes it as "partial 16S ribosomal RNA". It matches the Rfam family "Bacterial small subunit ribosomal RNA", at positions 524 to 776 of the family's 1533-position model. The record is from RNAcentral.